GUGUCAGCAGCCGCGGUAAUACGGAGGGUGCGAGCGUUGUCCGGAAUCACUGGGCGUAAAGGGCGCGUAGGUGGCCGAGCAAGGUCGCGGUGAAAGCCCGGGGCUCAACCCCGGGUCGGCCGUGGCAACUACUCGGCUUGAGCACUGUAGGGGCGGGUGGAAUUCCGGGUGUAGCGGUGGAAUGCGUAGAGAUCCGGAAGAACACCGGUGGCGAAGGCGGCCCGCUGGGCAGGAAGGCUCGCAAGAGCCGGCUGACACUGAGGCGCGACAGCGUGGGGAGCAAACAGGAUUAGAUACCCUGGUAGUCC
Molecule: ribosomal RNA, 308 nt
Filed under: uncultured bacterium
Lineage: Bacteria
Description: bacterial SSU rRNA
Rfam family: Bacterial small subunit ribosomal RNA
Source: RNAcentral